RNAcentral lists this small nuclear RNA (101 nucleotides) under Dipodomys ordii (Ord's kangaroo rat). The record is from RNAcentral. Lineage: Eukaryota; Metazoa; Chordata; Mammalia; Rodentia; Heteromyidae.
GUGCUAGGUUCAGCAGCACAUUUACUAAAAUUGAAACAAUUCAGAGAUUAGCAUGGUCCCCAAUAGAGGACACACAAAAACUGUAGGCAGGUUAUAGUGGC